This 497-nucleotide ribosomal RNA is filed under the name uncultured bacterium. RNAcentral describes it as "partial 16S ribosomal RNA". It matches the Rfam family "Bacterial small subunit ribosomal RNA", at positions 28 to 507 of the family's 1533-position model. The record is from RNAcentral.
GAUGAACGCUGGCGGCGUGCCUAAUACAUGCAAGUCGAGCGAACAGAUCAGGAGCUUGCUCCUUUGACGUUAGCGGCGGACGGGUGAGUAACACGUGGGUAACCUACCUAUCAGACUGGAAUAACUCCGGGAAACCGGGGCUAAUGCCGGAUAACAUUUAGAACCGCAUGGUUCUAAAGUGAAAGAUGGUUUUGCUAUCACUUAUAGAUGGACCCGCGCCGUAUUAGCUAGUUGGUAAGGUAACGGCUUACCAAGGCAACGAUACGUAGCCGACCUGAGAGCGUCAUCGGCCACACUGGAACUGAGACACGGCCCAGACUCCGACGGGAGGACGCAGUAGGGAAUCUUCCGCGAGGGGCGAAAGCCUGACGGAGCAAAGCGGCGUGAGUGAUGAAGGUCUUCGGAUCGUAAAACGAUGUUAGUAGGGAAGAAGAAAUGUGUAAGUAACUGGGCACGUCUUGACGGUACCUAAUCAGAAAGCUACGGCUAACUACGUG